GACGAACGCUGGCGGCGUGCCUAAUACAUGCAAGUAGAACGCACAGUUUAUACCGUAGCUUGCUACACCAUAGACUGUGAGUUGCGAACGGGUGAGUAACGCGUAGGUAACCUGCCUGGUAGCGGGGGAUAACUAUUGGAAACGAUAGCUAAUACCGCAUAAUAUUAAUUAUUGCAUGAUAAUUGAUUAAAAGGUGCAAUUGCACCACUACCAGAUGGACCUGCGUUGUAUUAGCUAGUAGGUGAGGUAACGGCUCACCUAGGCGACGAUACAUAGCCGACCUGAGAGGGUGAUCGGCCACACUGGGACUGAGACACGGCCCAGACUCCUACGGGAGGCAGCAGUAGGGAAUCUUCGGCAAUGGACGAAAGUCUGACCGAGCAACGCCGCGUGAGUGAAGAAGGUUUUCGGAUCGUAAAGCUCUGUUGUAAGAGAAGAACGGGUGUGAGAGUGGAAAGUUCACACUGUGACGGUAUCUUACCAGAAAGG
This 489-nucleotide ribosomal RNA is filed under the name Streptococcus gordonii. RNAcentral's name for it is "bacterial SSU rRNA". It matches the Rfam family "Bacterial small subunit ribosomal RNA", at positions 28 to 491 of the family's 1533-position model. The record is from RNAcentral. Lineage: Bacteria; Bacillati; Bacillota; Bacilli; Lactobacillales; Streptococcaceae.